AUUUCAGGCUCUUUUGUGUCGAGCGGAGGAGCAACUCUGUGUCCAGCUUAGAGGACUGGAAGAAGCUGCAACCUUCCGUUUGCUGGAGGGUGGAGGAUGGAUGGAGCCUGGAGCCUAGGUCAUUACCUUGCUGCGGUUGGUGGUGGCGAUACAGCAGUAGGAGAGUGGUCAGCAGCAGGAGGACUAGAAGGAAGAGGCACUGCCACAUGCUGGAGGCUGGAACCUGUGCCACCAUGGCUCGCCUCGCUGUGGUUGGUGGUGACGUCGGAGACUGCAGCUCAGCCACGGUGGUAGACAUGUGAUGGGGUAGCUGCUCCAAGCCAGGCUGAAGGAGGAGAAGGAGUCGCCGCCUGUGGUAAGGUCGAGCAGAUGACGUGGCUCUGCAGCUUGCCUCAUGCAGUUGGUGUUGGAGAUGGAGACCACAGCUCGACUGGAGCGGUGGUUUCCUAGAAACAUGAUUGUUUAUUGGCGUUGAUCUCAGUCUGGUGAGGACUUCUUUACUGAUAAUGUCAAGUUCAGGUUACCCUCCCAACCAAGGAGCAUUCAGCACAGAACAAAGUCGUUAUCCUCCUCAUUCUGUAAAGUAUACGUUUCCCAGCACCUGCCACCAGCAGAUGGACUCUCGCUCUGUCACCCGUGCUGGAGUGCAAUAGUGCAAUAUCAGCUCACUGCAACCUCUCCCUCCUGGGUUCAAGCCGUUCUCCUGCCUCAGCCUCCCGAGAUCCAACAUUUGGAGGCAAACAUGAAGCUCCAUCCUCUCCAAUUUCGAGGCAACCAUGUGGAGAUGAUCAAAAUGCUUCACCUUCAAAACUUUCAAAGGAAGAGUUAAUACAGAGUAUGGAUCGUAUAAAUCGAGAAAUUGCAAAAGUAGAACAGCAGAUCCUUAAACUGAAAAAGAAACAAGUAAAAGUCUUUGCUUAUAAUAUCCUAAGAAUGUGUGUUUUUCUCCCUACAGAAGAUAUUUUUGAGUUUUCCAUAUUUUGAAACUGUACAUAAAAGGAAUCAUGCCUUAUAUAUUCUGACUUGCUGUUUUUUGCUGCUAUUGUGGUUUUCUUUCAUUCAUUCAUUUUCCUUGCUGCACUGUCUGAUCAUAUGAUUGUAGAGAGUGAAAUUUGUUUGUCCAUUCUGUUUUUGAUUUUUUUUUCUAUUCCAUACAAUGGUGCUGGUUUUUGGUUCACGUGUAGAGAUUUUCUAGGGCAUGUGCCCAGGAAUGGCAGUGCUUGGCCCAAGAUUAUGCACAGUGAACUAUUUAAUAGAUGAUACUAAAUUUGCUAAGAAGUAACACCAUUUUACAUUCCCACUGGCAACUUACAUGGGUACUGGUUUGUGCACAUUCUUGCCUUUACUUGAUAUCAUUUUUUCAUUUGGAUAUGAAAUAGUCUUCUCUGUGGUUUGGAAGGAGGCUGAACUUAUUUUCAUUUGUUUAUGGGUUAUUUGGGUUCCUUAUGUGCAUUGUUCAUGUCUUUUGUCUGUAGUCUCCUAUUUUGUCAUUGAAAUUUUUAGGAUUCCCUGAAGUCCCUUGUCAGGUAUGUGUAUAGAAGAUUUGCCUAGUUUGUGGCCUGUCACUUCACUUUUAGCCCAGUAUCCACUCUAAGUGUACACUAAGUGCAUUUUUUUUUUCCACAUUUCGAGUCUCACUCUGUCACCCAGGCUGGAGUGCAGUGGUGCGAUCUUGGCUCACUGCAACCUCUGCCUCCCAGGUUCAAGUGAUUCUCCUGCAACAGCCUCCUGAGUAGCUGGGAAUAUAGGUGCUAUAAGUGCUUUUAAUGUAUUCAUAAAGUUGUACAGCUAUCACCACUCUCUAACUCUAGAACAUUUUUAUCGUUUCAAAAAGAAAUUCCAUACUUACUAGCAGUUACUCCCCAUUUCCCCCUUUCCCCAGCCCCUGGCAACCACUAGACUAUUCUCUGUCUCUAUGGACUAGCAUAUGCCAAAUAUCAGAAAAAAGAGAUUCAUAUGUGACCUUUUGUGUUUGGCUUCAUUUAUGUAGCAUGUUGUCCUGAUUCAUCCAUGUUGUAUCUUGUCUCAGCACUUCAUUACUUUAUAUGCCUGAAUCCCAUUGUGUGAGUAUACUAUGUUUUGUUUAUCCAUUCAUUAGUUGAUGGAUAUUUGAGUUGUGUUCAUUUUUUGACUAUGAUUAAUAGUGAUGAGAUUCAUGUACUCGUUUUUGUGUGGAUGUAUUUUUACAAUUUUCUUUAUAUAUCUAGGAGUGGGCAUAUGGUAAAUCUAUGUUUAAAUUUUUGAAAAACUUCAAAACUGUUUUCCAAAGUCUCUGUACCAUUUUAUAUUCUUACCAGCAGUGUAUGGAGGUUCCAUUUUUUCCUAUCUCCUUGCCAACAUCUGUUAUUUUCCUUUUUUUAAAAAAAAAAUAGCUAUUCUUGUAGAUGUGAAGUGGUAUCUAGUUGUAGUUUUCAUUUGCAUAUCCUUAAUGACUAAUGAUGUUGAGCAUCUUUUCAUGUGCUGAUUGGCCAUUUGUAUAUCUUUUUAGAGAAAUGUUCAUUUAGAUUGUUUGCUCAUUUAAUUGGGUUGUCUUUUUGUUAUUCUAAGAAUUAUUUAUAUAUUCUGGACGUUAGUUCUUCAUCAGAUGUAUGACUUAAUAGAUAUUUUCUCUCAUUCUGUGGGUUCUUUUCACUUUCCUGAUGGUAUCCUUUGAUGUACAAAAGUUUUGAAUUUUGUUGAAGUCCAGUUUGUUUUUUCCUUUUGUCACUCUUGCAUUUGGUGUUGUAUCUAAGACCCAUUGCCUAAUUCAGGGUCACAGAUUCAUACCUAUGUUUUCUUCUACAAAUUUUAUAGUUUUACCCCUUAUAUUUGGGUCUUUGAUCCUGAUAGUGUUUUUCUGGUGAACAGAAUUUGUCUAGGUUUUAUAUGAAAACCCACUGGGGUUAUUAAGGUAGUUUUACUGUAUUAUUUGUAGAAGUUUUAUAGUUUUGCUUCUCAUCUUAUUCUUAAUCCACUGGAAACUACAUAUUGUAUAGUCAGUGUUCAUUUAUAUUUACUCAGAUAUUUGUCUUCUUAAGUGCUCACCAUUUCUUCUCACAACUCAAGUCUUCCAUCUAGGGGAACACCCUUCUACUGAAGAACAUCUCUUAGAAUUUCCUUUAGUGAAGGUCUCUUAGUUAGCAAAUUCAGUAUUUGUUUGGUUUUUAUGACUUAAAUAUUGUCUUAUAUUUGGCCUGUUUAUUAAAAGAUAUAUUAAUUUCAUAUGUGAUUAUUUUUUCUUAGUACAUUGUCUUCUUGCUUCCAUUUUUAAGACAUUAACUCUUGGUCUAAGUCCGUAUUCUUUCAUGGAUAAACUGAAUUUUCUCUCUGCUUAUUUUCAAUAUAUUCUUUUCUUCAGGGUUCCGUUAUUUUUAUGAUGAUACAUUUAGGUGUUUUUUUUCACUUUUUAAAUCUGUCCAACUUGAGCUUCCUGAAUAUGAAGGGUGGAGUUUUUCAUCACUUUGGGAAAAUUCCAAGCCAUUAUCUUUUUUACAAAACCUUUCUAAAGGUUUAUUGUUCUACUUAUGAAAUCCUGUUAGUCGUAAUAUCACUCUUGUCUUCCAUGUCUCUUGUUUCUUUCUUAUUUUUUUACUUCUUUGGGCUUCAUUCUAAGCAAUUUCUUCAGCCUGUCUUCCAGUUUGCAUCUUCCUUUUCAAUUAUAUGUAAUCUGCUGUCAAAUCUGUCUUCAAUUUCAACAAUUAUGUUUUUAUUUCUGGAAUUUCUGUUUGGCUCCUUCUCAAAUCUGCCUGGUCAUUUUUUAAAAUGUUUUUUUGCUUUCAUUGAGUUGUAUUAAAUUUUUAUUAUAUACCCAACAAUUCUAAUUAAGUCUUUAUUGGUUUGAUUUUGCUGAGUCUCUUUUCUUUUUUCUUUUGUCUUUAUUUUCUUUACUUGUACAAUGGUAAUAAUCUAGUAAUAACACCAACUAAAUCACAUGAUCGUUUUAUGAAUUGAGAUAAUGAAUAUAUUGCAUAAUAUAUGGUACAUAGUAAAUGUACAUGCAAUCCAUUAUAAUAAUUAGAAAUAAUGAAAUAUAAUGUAUGAUUAUUAGGAAGUGUAGCAGAGCCACAAAUUUUAUUGAGCGAUAUAAAAGACAACUAGAGAAAACAAAUAUGCCAUAGCUGGAUGGAAACAGUAAUAAUAAUGUUGUGUGUUCAUCUUGGACUAAAUCAUGUCUCAUACAAUUUCAAUAAAAUUCCAAUUAAAUUUAUUUCUAAAACAUGGCAAAUACAUUGUAAAGUUAAUGUAAAAGAACAAAGAGGGCCAGGCUCUGUGGCUCAACCUGUAAUCCCAGCACUUUGGGAGGCUGAGGUGGGCAUAUCACAAGGUCAGGAGAUUGAGACCAUCCUGGCUAACACGGUGAAACCCCAUCUUUACCAUAAUACAAAAAAUUAGCUGGGCAUGGUUGCAGGCGCCUGUAGUCCCAGCUACUCAGGAGUGUGAGGCAGGAGAAUGGCGUGAACCCAGAAGGAGGAGCUUGUGGUGAGUGGAGAUCACGCCACUGCACUACAGCUUGGGCGACAGAGCGAGAUUCCAUCUCAAAAAUAAAAUAAAAUAUAAAAAGAAAAA
RNA transcript from Pan troglodytes (chimpanzee), 4545 nucleotides. RefSeq lists it as uncharacterized. The transcript has 5 exons. Lineage: Eukaryota; Metazoa; Chordata; Mammalia; Primates; Hominidae. The record is from RefSeq and is a predicted model, not a curated record.